UAUGUGGUUUAAUUCGAUGCAACGCGAAGAACCUUACCUGGUCUUGACAUCCCAGAGAUCCCUUGGAAACUUGGGAGUGCUUCCAUUAGGAAGAAUCUGGAGACAGGUGCUGCAUGGCUGUCGUCAGCUCGUGUCGUGAGAUGUUGGGUUAAGUCCCGCAACGAGCGCAACCCUUGCCUUUAGUUGCCAGCAGUUCGGCUGGGCACUCUAAAGGGACUGCCGGUGUUAAACCGGAGGAAGGUGGGGAUGACGUCAAGUCCUCAUGGCCUUUAUGACCAGGGCUACACACGUACUACAAUGGCCGAUACAAAGGGCAGCGACAUCGCGAGAUGAAGCCAAUCCCAUAAAUUCGGUCUCAGUCCGGAUUGGAGUCUGCAACUCGACUCCAUGAAGUUGGAAUCGCUAGUAAUCGUGGAUCAGCAUGCCACGGUGAAUACGUUCCCGGGCCUU
Molecule: ribosomal RNA, 450 nt
Filed under: uncultured prokaryote
Description: bacterial SSU rRNA
Rfam family: Bacterial small subunit ribosomal RNA
Source: RNAcentral